GCCAUAUUAAAAGCAACUGCAAGGUGGCCGGAUAUUAGAAAACAGAAAGUAGCGAGCAAUUUCAGCAAUUAAAUUAGUCAUGGCCUGGGCUAAAAGAACCAUGUCGGAUAUAUUUUACGUUAAAUAACUCGUACGAGAUCUGGUAUAUUGAUUUAAAGAAAUGUUCCUCCUGGCUUGGGUUUAUUUGCUGCUGCUGCUUGAUGGGCCCCUCCAAGUCAAAUCAAAUAAUAUUUCGAGUUAUUUAAGAGUUCACCACCAUCAGCCAUGGAAUGGUAAGCAUUCUGGUCGCUCAAUACCGAGUUAUGUAAAUAUUUUCGCUGGCGAACAUCACGUGUUUGGCAAUGAUACUUCUGAUGCUCAGGAUCUGCUCGAUCUCCACAAAAAUGAGUUCGGACGUAUGCCACGCCAAAUUAAGAGUGCUUCAUGAGUAAAAGUAAAAGAGUAGAGAGUAA
Molecule: long non-coding RNA, 452 nt
Organism: Drosophila subobscura
Lineage: Eukaryota; Metazoa; Arthropoda; Insecta; Diptera; Drosophilidae
Exons: 2
Source: RefSeq, a predicted model, not a curated record